AUUGAACGCUGGCGGCAGGCCUAACACAUGCAAGUCGAGCGGAAACGAUCCUAGCUUGCUAGGAGGCGUCGAGCGGCGGACGGGUGAGUAACGCGUGAGAAUCUACCCAUGAGUGGGGGACAACCCGGAGAAACUCGGGCUAAUACCGCAUACGCCCUACGGGGUAAAGCAGGGGACCUUCGGGCCUUGCGCUGAUGGAUGAGCUCGCGUCGGAUUAGCUUGUUGGUGAGGUAAAGGCUCACCAAGGCGACGAUCCGUAGCUGGUCUGAGAGGAUGAUCAGCCACACCGGGACUGAGACACGGCCCGGACUCCUACGGGAGGCAGCAGUGGGGAAUCUUGGACAAUGGGGGCAACCCUGAUCCAGCCAUGCCGCGUGUGUGAAGAAGGCCUUCGGGUUGUAAAGCACUUUCAGCAGGGAGGAAGGCUUACCCCUAAUACGGGUGAGUACUUGACGUUACCUGCAGAAGAAGCACCGGCUAAUUUCGUG
Molecule: ribosomal RNA, 488 nt
Filed under: uncultured bacterium
Lineage: Bacteria
Description: bacterial SSU rRNA
Rfam family: Bacterial small subunit ribosomal RNA
Source: RNAcentral